Molecule: ribosomal RNA, 933 nt
Filed under: Vibrio parahaemolyticus
Lineage: Bacteria; Pseudomonadati; Pseudomonadota; Gammaproteobacteria; Vibrionales; Vibrionaceae
Also listed under: 1 other name
Description: partial 23S ribosomal RNA
Rfam family: Bacterial large subunit ribosomal RNA
Source: RNAcentral
UUGUCCUGUGACUGCGUACCUUUUGUAUAAUGGGUCAGCGACUUAUAUUCAGUGGCAAGGUUAACCAUCUAGGGGAGCCGUAGGGAAACCGAGUCUUAACUGGGCGUUCAGUCUCUGGAUAUAGACCCGAAACCAGGUGAUCUAGCCAUGGGCAGGUUGAAGGUUGAGUAACAUCAACUGGAGGACCGAACCGACUAAUGUUGAAAAAUUAGCGGAUGACUUGUGGCUAGGGGUGAAAGGCCAAUCAAACCUGGAGAUAGCUGGUUCUCCCCGAAAGCUAUUUAGGUAGCGCCUCGGACGAAUACUACUGGGGGUAGAGCACUGUUAAGGCUAGGGGGUCAUCCCGACUUACCAACCCUUUGCAAACUCCGAAUACCAGUAAGUACUAUCCGGGAGACACACGGCGGGUGCUAACGUCCGUCGUGGAGAGGGAAACAACCCAGACCGCCAGCUAAGGUCCCAAAUUACUACUAAGUGGGAAACGAUGUGGGAAGGCUCAGACAGCCAGGAUGUUGGCUUAGAAGCAGCCAUCAUUUAAAGAAAGCGUAAUAGCUCACUGGUCGAGUCGGCCUGCGCGGAAGAUGUAACGGGGCUAAGUAGUAAACCGAAGCUGCGGCAAUGUGCUUUUGCACAUUGGGUAGGGGAGCGUUCUGUAAGCGGUUGAAGGUGUGUGGUAACGCAUGCUGGACGUAUCAGAAGUGCGAAUGCUGACAUGAGUAACGAUAAAGGGGGUGAAAAACCUCCUCGCCGGAAGACCAAGGGUUCCUGUCCAACGUUAAUCGGGGCAGGGUAAGUCGACCCCUAAGGCGAGGCCGAAAGGCGUAGUCGAUGGGAAACGGGUUAAUAUUCCCGUACUUCUUACAAUUGCGAUGGGGGGACGGAGAAGGCUAGGUGGGCCUGGCGACGGUUGUCCAGGUUCAAGUGCGUAGGCUU